This 329-nucleotide unclassified non-coding RNA is filed under the name plant metagenome. Its description in RNAcentral is "partial contains 5.8S ribosomal RNA, internal transcribed spacer 2, and large subunit ribosomal RNA". The stretch from base 1 to 105 matches the Rfam family "5.8S ribosomal RNA", at positions 50 to 154 of the family's 154-position model. The record is from RNAcentral.
GAAAUGCGAUAAGUAAUGUGAAUUGCAGAAUUCCGUGAAUCAUCGAAUCUUUGAACGCACAUUGCGCCCUCUGGUAUUCCGGGGGGCAUGCCUGUCCGAGCGUCAUUGCGAACCCCUCAAGCACGGCUUGUGUGAUGGGCCCUCCCGCGUCUUGGUCAUCAAGACGGGCCCGAAAAGCAGUGGCGGCUUCGCGGUUAUCCGAUCAGCCAGAGCGUAUGGGGACUUUCUCUCUGUCACACGCCCGCGGCGCGGACCGACGCCUGUCGCCCUUUAUUCAUCUUUUUCUCGGUUGACCUCGGAUCAGGUAGGGAUACCCGCUGAACUUAAGC